Molecule: long non-coding RNA, 663 nt
Filed under: Heterocephalus glaber (naked mole-rat)
Lineage: Eukaryota; Metazoa; Chordata; Mammalia; Rodentia; Bathyergidae
Description: lncRNA (ENSHGLG00000038785.1)
Source: RNAcentral
CGUUCCACCAAAUGGAAUGAGUAUUCCGAUGGCCUGAGAAGAAGAGUUGGCUUUAUAAACAGAGAGAGGCCGAAGAAGGCAGAAACAAAGGCUGGAAAGCAGACUGGCCCUCUCCAAGCUACUUUCCUCGUAAGGCGGGCACAGGGCUCCAGAACAAUAGGCCCUGCACUGCCCGCCUCUCCCACGGCAGCCUGGCUUCCCUGUGGGGAGGCGCCCCGACCCCACUCGGCUGCGCGCCCAGGGCUGUUUUACACUGCGCUUGGCUCCUGGGAAGCUGCAUGGCGUCUCCCGAGCUGUUGAAGGAAGGAGUCACCCGCAGUCUCGGAACCCUCAGCACCAGCCACACAGGGUGUCUCUCAGGCUCUGGGCAUCCCCCGUCUGCUUCAUUGUGCUUGGAGGCCACACUCAUCAGGAAAGGCUAAAAAGGGCCAACUUGGGAAGGACCAUACACCAUGAUCCUGUCAACCCCCUCAGCUGUCAAGGUAGCAGGCCUGGACUCCUGGGCACACCAUACUUGACUCAAGCCCUGAGAACCAGAGACUGUUGCUGAAUGUGAGCAACCACCUGAAUACUCCUGUGAACCCACAGGAGACUUACAGUUCUUUUUCAAGAGGAAAACAAAGUCUUCAGAUAAGUAGUCUAAGAUGUUACCCUAGCCUUGUA